UAAUGUCUCGUCACGACGGUUAACGGUUUUUGAUGUAAUAUUUUUAAAUUAAAAAAAAAACAAAAAAUCCCCAACAUGGUUCGCUCAUUCGUAUUCUUGAUCCCGCUCAUUCGUGUAGUUCCAUUUACAUUACUCCAUAGCUAGCUCUUGCAUUUCAACGUGAAUUUGGAAGCUCCAUUACCUACCUUGCUUCAUCAAUCUCGAUCUCAUUUCACUUCUGUUCAAUCAAUCUCCAUACCUCUCGAUCGAUCGAUCCUCCUCACUGACCGCGUUUUCCGGAGAUUCUGCUACUGUCCAAAGGUUCUGUUGAAAUAGGUGCGGUGUAGACGUGUAGUUGGUGGCUUUUCCAUCGUCAUUUUUCAAUUUGCUCUUUCGACGCCAAAAAUGCCAAGGGGUAGACCAAAAAUUACCGUUAAAGCAACCGAACCGGUACUUGAACCCAAGGAACCUCACUUCAUGGACCACGAAAUCAAAGCGUUGGAGCAACAAAUCGGUGCGAUUAGGGAAGUUAACGAGGUGAAAACCGAAUACUUGUUGACAGACUUGCGGUUUCUUCGCUCAUGUUUCAGAGAGGAACAGCUGCAGAAACCCGUUUUAGAGAUUUUUGAAGAAACUCUUCCAAAUCUGUCCAUUGUGAAUGAUAAAGGGAGUGCCAAAUUUGAAGUGAUAUGGAAAGAUAAAGAGUCUAUGAAUAUGAACAUGAACGGUGGUGAUGUAAAUGCUUCAUUGCUGCAAAGGUUGUCCAUGGCUUACCCUCACUACUCUUCAAUUCCUCCUUUUGCUGGUGCCUUUGAAUAUUCUUCCAAUGCAAUAGGGGGAACAAGCUUUAUCGGUGCUGAUAAUCCGUAUUUGAAGGACUUCGUGACUAGUCACAGGUUGUCUGUUGGGAUGAUGCCCAAAACACUUAGGGUUCCCAAGCCUGGCGAGAUGCUUCUCUCUGUCCAUGGAUCACCCUUAGGUGUUUACAAGGACAAUAACAUGGAAGCCGUACAUGGUAUGAUUAAAAAAAUGCUUGGGAUGAAAAUUGAAUCUAUUUCAUUCUUUAUCAUGUUAAUGAACAAGGGAUAGUUCUUGUCUACCGUAAUGCUUUACUUUUGACAUGCUUUUCUGUUCUUCAACACCAGUUGAAGCACUACCAGUUUUUCUGGUUCUAGAUGGUAUCUAUUCUGCUUCAACACAACACUACAAGUUUUUCUAGUUCUAGUAUGGUAUCUAUUCUGACAUGCAGAGUCGGAGGAGGGUUGAAUUCUGGUUAAAUCUCUUGCAGUUCAAGAUCAAGUUUUUCAUGUAUCUAUGCGCACCAACCAUUAAAAUUUCGAUAGUGACUCUAGAUGAGAUUUGGGUCAAAAUUUGAAAGAAAGACCUUAAAAGAAAAAGAUGAUUGGUUUGGCUGAGCUCCUUGAGGGAUUGUAUAACCUGACCAUACAAGAUGCACCAGUCACCAUAGCCACAUCUCAAGCUACUUCAUCCACCUUCAUUCCUAAGGAAACCCUUUGGCAUGUUAGCCUAGGACACUUAUCCAAUACUAGAUUGUUAGAUUUGCAUAAGAAUUUCCCUUUUGUAAAUGUUGAUCAUGAUUCUGUCAGUGAUAUUUCUCACAUACAAGACAUAGAAAAUCGAAAUUUCCUCUCAGUUCAAAUAAAGCUAGUAACAUACUAUGAUUUGUUUCA
RNA transcript from Trifolium pratense (red clover), 1670 nucleotides. RefSeq lists it as uncharacterized. The record is from RefSeq and is a predicted model, not a curated record. The transcript has 6 exons. NCBI's taxonomy places the organism in Eukaryota, Viridiplantae, Streptophyta, Magnoliopsida, Fabales, Fabaceae.